CACAGUUCACACAAAAAAUCUAUUAAUACUAUGAGCUGCUGCUGUUAUUUUUGAUAACAGAUGGACAGCACUGUGCUGGUUAGAUUAGUAGGUUCUGGGUUUGAUAACAGAUGGACGGUGCUGUGCUGGUUAGAUUAGAACGUUCUGGGGUUUGAUAACAGAUGGAUGGAGCUGUGCUGAUUAGAUUAGUAGAUUCAGGGGUUUGAUAAGAGAUGGACAGCGCUGUGCGGGUUAGAUUAGUAAUUAGAUAACGGAUGGCGAAGCUGGGUAGAUUAGUAGGUUUUGGGGUUUGAUAACAGAUGGACGGUGCUGUGCUGGUUAGAUUAGUAGGUUCUGGGGUUUGAUAAAAGAUGGACGGUGCUGUGCUGGUUAGAUUAGUAGGUUCUGGUAUUUGAUAACAGAUGGACGGAGCUGUGCUGGUUAGAUUAGUAGGUUCUGGGUUUUGGUAACAGAUGGACGAUGCUGUGCUGGUUAGAUUAGUAGGUUCUGGGGUUUGAUAACAGAUGGACAAUGCUGUGCUGGUUAGAUUAGUAGGUUCUGGGGUUUGAUAACAGAUGGACGGUGCUGUGCUGGUUAGAUUAGUAGGUUCUGGGUUUGAUAACAGAUGGACGGUGCUGUGCUGGUUAGAUUAGUAGGUUCUGGGGUUUGAUAACAGAUGGACGGUGCUGUGCUGGUUAGAUUAGUAGGUUCUGGGUUUGAUAACAGAUGGACGGUGCUGUGCUGGUUAGAUUAGUAGGUUCUGGGGUUUGAUAACAGAUGGACGAUGCUGUGCUGGUUAGAUUAGUAGGUUCUGGGGUUUGAUAACAGAUGGACGGUGCUGUGCUGGUUAGAUUAAUUUUACAACCACAUUACUUUUGCCAAAAG
This is a long non-coding RNA of Astyanax mexicanus (Mexican tetra), 864 nucleotides long. RefSeq lists it as uncharacterized. NCBI's taxonomy places the organism in Eukaryota, Metazoa, Chordata, Actinopteri, Characiformes, Acestrorhamphidae. The record is from RefSeq and is a predicted model, not a curated record. The transcript is spliced from 6 exons.